GAUGAACGCUGACAGAAUGCUUAACACAUGCAAGUCUACUUGAACUUCGGUUUGGGUGGCGGACGGGUGAGUAACGCGUAAAGAACUUGCCUCACAGUUAGGGACAACAUUUGGAAACGAAUGCUAAUACCUGAUAUUAUGAUUUUAGGGCAUCCUAAAAUUAUGAAAGCUAUAUGCGCUGUGAGAGAGCUUUGCGUCCCAUUAGCUAGUUGGAGAGGUAACGGCUCACCAAGGCGAUGAUGGGUAGCCGGCCUGAGAGGGUGAACGGCCACAAGGGGACUGAGACACGGCCCUUACUCCUACGGGAGGCAGCAGUGGGGAAUAUUGGACAAUGGACCAAAAGUCUGAUCCAGCAAUUCUGUGUGCACGAUGACGUUUUUCGGAAUGUAAAGUGCUUUCAGUUGGGAAGAAAAAAAUGACGGUACCAACAGAAGAAGUGACGGCUAAAUACGUGCCAGCAGCCGCGGUAAUACGUAUGUCACAAGCGUUAUCCGGAUUUAUUGGGCGUAAAGCGCGUCUAGGUGGUUAUGUAAGUCUGAUGUGAAAAUGCAGGGCUCAACUCUGUAUUGCGUUGGAAACUGCAUGACUAGAGUACUGGAGAGGUAAGCGGAACUACAAGUGUAGAGGUGAAAUUCGUAGAUAUUUGUAGGAAUGCCGAUGGGGAAGCCAGCUUACUGGACAGAUACUGACGCUAAAGCGCGAAAGCGUGAGUAGCAAACAGG
Molecule: ribosomal RNA, 722 nt
Filed under: uncultured Fusobacterium sp.
Lineage: Bacteria; Fusobacteriati; Fusobacteriota; Fusobacteriia; Fusobacteriales; Fusobacteriaceae
Description: bacterial SSU rRNA
Rfam family: Bacterial small subunit ribosomal RNA
Source: RNAcentral